CGCUAGUCUGACAAAGUACAGGAAGCCUGUUCCCUCCCACUGUGGCCUGCUCUUACCAGCUGUUUAGAAUGCGUUCUGCAGACUUCACCGGGGCUCAUGAGAUAUGCAGCUUUCAACACAGAAAGGGCACAUGUGAUUGCAUUGGAUUCACCACAUAAUCCAGGAUUAUCUUCCCUUGAAGAUCAUUAGCUUAUUCACAUCUGUCAAGUAAGUCCCUUUUGCCAUAUUCACAAAUUUCAGAGAUUAGGAUGUGGACAUCUUUGGAGGCCAUUAUUCUGCCUACCACAGGGAGUAAGGGCACAAAUAUGAGUUCAGUUCUACACACGUGGGUUUGGUGAACACGGCACAUCCAGGCGGUGAUGCUGAGUAGAAAGCACUAUAGCUGGGUCUGAACCUUAGGAGUGAGAUUUGCUUGAUCAUCCAAAUGCAAGCAUCAUCAAAGUAUAGAUGGAAUUGAAAACAGGGACAUAGACGGGGUCUCCCUUGGCAAAAUAUUUAGAGUGGAAAGAGAAGAGGAAAAACUUUGAGAAAUAUUAUCCUUCAACGGAUAAGCAAAGAAUCCUCUGAAGAAGAAUGAAAAUGAGUAGCCAGAAAGGCAGUAAGGACUGGAGGUGAGGAGCAGUUUUGGUCUCUCUUCAGGACCCCAGAGUCUCCCAUCUCCACUUCUUUGCACGUCUUUCCUCAAACCAGACCUUCAUGAUAUUGGUGCAUGCACCCUGCUAGCCACCAGCCCAGAUUGACGAUUGUCUUUUAUUCCCAAUUUAAAAUCCCAGGAGAGAAAAUAUGAUGCCCCCAUGUUGAGUCUAGGCAUUGAUCCACCCCCCAUCACCUCAUGAUACAUAAUGGGCACUCAGUUAACAUUUGUUAAAUUAAUAUUUGUUGAAUGAAUGAAGUCAGAGGUUCACCUGUCAUCUAACAAGCUAUGACCACAAGGUAUCAUCACAGAGCACACACAUGGCUCUGUGAGACCAACAUGUAUUAGUCCAUUCUCGAAUUACUAUAAAGAACUAGCUGAGACUGGGUAAUUUAUAAAG
RNAcentral lists this long non-coding RNA (1034 nucleotides) under Callithrix jacchus (white-tufted-ear marmoset). RNAcentral describes it as "lncRNA (ENSCJAG00000075314.1)". Lineage: Eukaryota; Metazoa; Chordata; Mammalia; Primates; Cebidae. The record is from RNAcentral.